AUGUUCCUUCCAUUUUUGCUGCUGCUGGCAGCUUCAUCCUAUGUGGACUGUGCAGUAGAACUCACUCAGGUCACCUCAGUGCUGUUAAAGCCAGGAGAUUCUUUAACCCUCAGCUGUAAAGUAUCCGGCUACUCUGUUACUGACAACAGCUACACCACGGCUUGGAUCCGACAACCUGCAGGAAACACUCUGGAAUGGAUAAACGACAUCUGGGGUGGUGGAGCAAUUGGUUCUAAAGAUUCUCUAAAAAACAAGUUCAGUAUUUCUAAAGACGGCUCCAGCAGCACGGUGACUCUGAGAGGACAGAAUCUGCAGACUGAAGACACAGCUGUGUAUUACUGCGCUCGCCACACACACUGAUGCUUCUGUUGAGGUGUCAAUACAAAAACACACGCAUGCUGUUGUCAAAAGUUUAUCUCACAUUUUCAUCAUCAGUGUUGAAGAACAAAGGAAACAUUGAGACAAAAACUG
Non-coding RNA from Neoarius graeffei (lesser salmon catfish), 471 nucleotides. Lineage: Eukaryota; Metazoa; Chordata; Actinopteri; Siluriformes; Ariidae. The record is from the annotation of a RefSeq genome assembly.